This 1428-nucleotide ribosomal RNA is filed under the name uncultured organism. RNAcentral describes it as "16S ribosomal RNA". It matches the Rfam family "Bacterial small subunit ribosomal RNA". The record is from RNAcentral.
AACACAUGCAAGUCGAGGGGCAGCAUUUUCCUUUGCUUGCAAACUGAAGAUGGCGACCGGCGCACGGGUGAGUAACACGUAUCCAACCUGCCGAUAACUCCGGGAUAGCCUUUCGAAAGAAAGAUUAAUACCGGAUAGCAUACGAAUAUCGCAUGAUAUUUUUAUUAAAGAAUUUCGGUUAUCGAUGGGGAUGCGUUCCAUUAGUUUGUUGGCGGGGUAACGGCCCACCAAGACUACGAUGGAUAGGGGUUCUGAGAGGAAGGUCCCCCACAUUGGAACUGAGACACGGUCCAAACUCCUACGGGAGGCAGCAGUGAGGAAUAUUGGUCAAUGGGCGCGAGCCUGAACCAGCCAAGUAGCGUGAAGGAUGAAGGCUCUAUGGGUCGUAAACUUCUUUUAUAUGGGAAUAAAGUUUUCCACGUGUGGAAUUUUGUAUGUACCAUAUGAAUAAGGAUCGGCUAACUCCGUGCCAGCAGCCGCGGUAAUACGGAGGAUCCGAGCGUUAUCCGGAUUUAUUGGGUUUAAAGGGAGCGUAGGUGGAUUGUUAAGUCAGUUGUGAAAGUUUGCGGCUCAACCGUAAAAUUGCAGUUGAAACUGGCAGUCUUGAGUACAGUAGAGGUGGGCGGAAUCCGUGGUGUAGCGGUGAAAUGCUUAGAUAUCACGAAGAACUCCGAUUGCGAAGGCAGCUCACUAGACUGUCACUGACACUGAUGCUCGAAAGUGUGGGUAUCAAACAGGAUUAGAUACCCUGGUAGUCCACACAGUAAACGAUGAAUACUCGCUGUUUGCGAUAUACAGUAAGCGGCCAAGCGAAAGCAUUAAGUAUUCCACCUGGGGAGUACGCCGGCAACGGUGAAACUCAAAGGAAUUGACGGGGGCCCGCACAAGCGGAGGAACAUGUGGUUUAAUUCGAUGAUACGCGAGGAACCUUACCCGGGCUUAAAUUGCAACAGAAUAUAUUGGAAACAGUAUAGCCGUAAGGCUGUUGUGAAGGUGCUGCAUGGUUGUCGUCAGCUCGUGCCGUGAGGUGUCGGCUUAAGUGCCAUAACGAGCGCAACCCUUAUCUUUAGUUACUAACAGGUCAUGCUGAGGACUCUAGAGAGACUGCCGUCGUAAGAUGUGAGGAAGGUGGGGAUGACGUCAAAUCAGCACGGCCCUUACGUCCGGGGCUACACACGUGUUACAAUGGGGGGUACAGAAGGCGGCUACCUGGUGACAGGAUGCUAAUCCCAAAAACCUCUCUCAGUUCGGAUCGAAGUCUGCAACCCGACUUCGUGAAGCUGGAUUCGCUAGUAAUCGCGCAUCAGCCAUGGCGCGGUGAAUACGUUCCCGGGCCUUGUACACACCGCCCGUCAAGCCAUGAAAGCCGGGGGUACCUGAAGUACGUACCCGAAAGGAGCGUCCUAGGGUAAAACUGGUAAUUGGGGC